Molecule: ribosomal RNA, 253 nt
Filed under: uncultured bacterium
Lineage: Bacteria
Description: partial 16S ribosomal RNA
Rfam family: Bacterial small subunit ribosomal RNA
Source: RNAcentral
UACAGAGGGUGCAAACGUUGCUCGGAAUUACUGGGCGUAAAGCGCGUGUAGGCGGCUUGUUAAGUUGGUCGUGAAAGCCCAUGGCUCAACCAUGGAAGUGCAACCAAAACUGGCAAGCUUGAGUUCUGAAGAGGAUGGCGGAAUUCCCAGUGUAGAGGUGAAAUUCGUAGAUAUUGGGAGGAACAUCGGUGGCGAAGGCGGCCAUCUGGGAAGAUACUGACGCUGAGACGCAAAAGCGUGGGUAGCAAACAGG